Molecule: long non-coding RNA, 805 nt
Filed under: Capsella grandiflora
Lineage: Eukaryota; Viridiplantae; Streptophyta; Magnoliopsida; Brassicales; Brassicaceae
Description: long non-coding RNA (CGRA_LNC001515)
Source: RNAcentral
CUGCAUCUAGGCUCUGUUCUUCAGCUUCUAUUCUCCUCAUGAUCUUAUAUGUUCUGUCAAUAUCCUCUCUGGUAAGUCUCCCUUGUUGAAGCAACUGCUCAAACUUAUUCCUUCCCAAAGAGUGACCAGUUAGCACCAUUGGCACAUUUAAUGCUCCUGCCAAAUGUGCAGCUACUUCUCCUGCAUCAGCAUAGUGACCAUGGAUAACAUAAGGCCAUAUUGGUUUCCCUCCAUUCACUUGCUCUCCCAAAGACCUUGCUAUGCUCACUAUGUGAUUUAGUGCCCCAUCAACAAACUCAGGGAUAUGGGGCCAGAGUGACUCCUUUGGUAUGUACCUGUAUUUGGCAAACAUGAGUAUAGAGAAACUAACUGCUUCUUUCUCAACUUCUUUUAAAGCAGGAAUUUGAAUAAAUAAAUUCCAAGAAGUCUUAUGUGAUAGUACUUUUCCCGAGCACCGCAGGGGAUGCGGAUAAUGUAGGAGCCACAGCUGUCACUUCCUUCUGGAGGGCAUGAUAACAUCUCAACUGGCUCGCCAUAGCUGUAGUCAACCUCUGGUGAACUGAUCUGCCUUGUUAAGAGAUCAACCCUGUGGACCCCUUCAGUGUUGGCCAACGCACGAGCAAGCUCAACAACAUAUUUCACCUAUUCGUCCAUUAACAAGACUCUUCAUAUUGAUGGAAAAUUAAGAAAGCCAGAAGCAACACUUGAAGCACCGUAAAUAAUUGAAUCUUUACUACGAAGUCUACUAGAACUAGAAGAUGGUUAUAUACCUGUCCGCCAGUAUCAGAGUCUCUUCCAAGCUCCA